UUUGAAGAGAUUUUUCACAGUGAGGAAAAAAAAGAAAAAAGUAAACAUUAGAAAACAUGCUGCAGUCCUGCAGGAUGCAGUCUGCUGCAAAUGCUGAACUUGUUUUUUAUCGUCAUUAUUAUUUUACAUGGCAACGUUGCUGUCGAUGACAUUAGUGCUUUUUAUCUGCCACAUUUUACCUUUUUUAUGAGCUUUAAAGAUGUUUUUAGCCCGCUUUGCUUGUCACACUGCAAAAAAAAACUCACAAAAAAAAGGAGGAAAAAAAAUAAAUAAAAUGAGCAGGAGGAAAACAAAAAACUACAGAGAAAAUUCUGGCAGUAAAACAAAAAAAAAAACAACAACGUUAGAUUCAGUAGGAGCUUAUGGUUUAAACCAAUCAGUGCAAAAGCAAUAGAAAGAAAUUGUUGACAAUUUCUGUAGUCUUUCCUAGUUGUGGAUCAAAUGCAGCCCAUGGAUGGCCAUUUUUAUACCAAAGAUGAAGAGACACUCUGAACCAGAGUUUAGUUUUUGUUUUAUUGUUUCCUUUUGUUUUGUUUUCCUUUUCAUUUUUCAGUUUGAUUUUGUUGUUGUUGAUGUUGUUGUUGUUGAUGAUGUUAAUGUUGAUGUUGAUGUUGUUGUUGCUGUUGUUGUCGGGUUUUUUUCUGCUUUUUUUUUUUUUUUUUCAUUAUUUUUUCAUUUUUUUGGUUUUGUUUUUUACCUUAAUGGCCGGACCAGUCCUUGCUAUCCUUCUUAACCGGGUUUAAGAACACUUUUCACAGUUGUCCGAGCUGUCGCGCACGCUCACGCAUAUCGAUAACGCUCAUACGCCGUCUCAGACACACACAUCAGACAGUAUUGAAUUGCGUGGCAGUUUUAUCAAAAGUCCUCUUUCUGUCUUUUAAUUUCUCUCGUGUGUGUGUCUCAUCUCUUCUUCUUCUGUAAUGCUUUCACACACUGUGUGUGCAUUCCACCUCUGUCUCUCUCUCUCAAAUCCUGCAGGGAAAACUUUAGGAAUCAGACUGGGGAAUGUUGCUGUGUCUGCUAAGUGGUCGUUGACGCGACACAUCGCUUCCAGCUAAUUUCAUUCUGUUUAUCUGUUUAAUUCAACCAUAACUAUCUCAGCCAUUUCUCAGUGUACUAAGCUUCAGCGGGAAGCCCCCCCUGCUGCUGUUUGACCUCAUGUUUAAUCAGUAUGUCAUAGGUGGAUCGCUUUCUAAUAUAUUUAUGUGCUCAAAACACCAGAGUCACGUUUGCUGCAUAUUGUGCAUAGAUUGCUCCCCAAAAGGAACAAAACUGAAGUCUUUUGGUAAUGAUUGCAUAAACUUUACGGCACUUAAUGGCACUGUCCUUCUGUUUACAGCAGCCUAACUGAGUAGUUUGACAUUUUGGGAAAAUUAUCGCAAUUUUUUUUCUUUUGAAUUUUAUAAUCUUGCUGGAUUAGUCAGCACCCAGCAGUUUGGCUUAGCCUUGAACACUAAGUGGAGCAGAAAACCUUGCAGCACCACUUGUUGUAUCUCAUUUGUUUUGUACAAAAAUAACACCUUUAGUCUUGCAACGGUCUGGUGAUCUGUCCACGGUGUACCCCGCCUCUCAUCCUGUGACAGCUGGGAUUGGCCCCUCCCCACCACGGCCCUGAAUUAGACAAGCAGAAGAACACGGAUGGAGAAAUAUUCCUCUGAACCACAUUUAACUGAGUGGACAUGUAGUAACCACUCGCUUUGCUUUUGUAUUAUUUGUGUGGUAAGCCCGCUGUCACUACCGCCUGCCAUCACUGUGACGCUAACAAAGCAUGGAGGUAAGGAGUUUAAAAGCAAGAAGAGGACUGCUUGUCUUGAACAUCCGUCCUGAUCAUUUGUAGAAGGUCAGCACACCUGUGGGAAGUAACUAGGCUUCCCACCAGCCAUAACAGGAUGUCGAUGGCAGCUUCUUCCUCAACCUCGCCGCUGAGUGUCAGUUACACCCCUAGUUGUCCCAAUUUGUUGCACAAACAACCCCGUCUCGUCUGAUCCGGUCUUUCCAUCCCUGAGCCGCAUGAGGUUUUUUUCAGUGACUUCAUCUCUGUGGAUUGUCCCCAGAGAAAUUGCCUGUGGGUCAUUUCUGCCCGUAUUACAGAAAGCCUGUGUGUGUCGGGAACGCUGUGUGCGUCUGUGUUCUGCUCACCCGUGGCCUCCCCUGCUCGGCCUCGGCCGUGGUGCCGCAGCACUAAAAAGAACCGCGGCUUCGCUAGCAACAUUAAUGUGCCAUGGUCAAGCCACCCUCCUUUGCUCUCAUUUUCCCCUCACUGUCAUCCUCUCCCUCUUCCACCAACACCGCCACCCCCGUCUCUCACGCUAUCUCUCUCUCACUCUCUCUGAGGUUUCUUCUCUUUAUUGGAUGGUGCAGAAGCAGAACCACAAACCAAUUUCAGUCACUCUCGCAAUGAGGCUUGACGGGCCCAAUUUGUCUCCCUCCGGGGCAAUAGGAUCCACUCCAGUGUCCCUCAAAAGACCCCUUUCUUGCGGAGAGAGGGGGAGCUUUUUGUUUGGUGACAAUUGCAAUUGAGCACUCGCAGUUCAUGUGACUCAUUCAAAUCCUGUGCUCCUGGCAGUGUGCACGUUGCAAAGUGAACUGCGGUAUGUCAUCAUUCGCGGUGAUUUCUCGUUUUCCUUUUUUUCGUAAGCAACAAUCAAACUGUACGUUGAGUGCCUUUUUAACAAAGCUUCCAAAUAAUUCCAAAUCAUCUGUGUAAUUGUUAAUAAAGCAAAGCACAUGGAAAAGCUUGUUAAAGAAGCUGUGCUGGGGAAACGCUACUCUAUGGUGCUAAAGAUGAAGCUGUCUUGGGCUUCUGCCUUUCAUUGCGAUCGGUGAUUUUCUGUGGUGAGCCGGCCACUGUUGAUCACUUGGCCGCGAGCUCGAUCUUAACCGGCCUCCUGUCCACUCGAUGACACAAAAAGAUAGUUCCCGAAGUGAACUACACUGUAAAAGCCAUAUUUUUAUUUUCCCUCAGUCGCACCGCGAGCACCCUCCGAAGAUUCCUGUCUUCCAUCCACCGACGGACAUCAGAAGCCAGAUGUGUCACUCGAGCUUUCCCUCACUGACUGUUAUCCGGUCACAUCAACACAUUGGGCCUUUCCUUUCAUCUGAUCUACCACUCAGCAUCUGCUUUUGCUCGCCCUCAGGCUACGAUCUGCUCUUAUCUCCCAUGGAACAAGUCCCUUCCACCUCCAACUGCUAACAACUUACUGUUGGGCUUUAGGGUUCCCUCGUCGUGCCAACGCUGCUCAUCUGUUCACAGCUGUUCGUUUUUAAGUGUCCUGACGAAACAACCGAGCUGCUACACUUUACCAGUUUUAAGCUAGUGUGUGUUUUUGUGUGUCUGGUGUAUAUGUGAAGAGUUGUUUGUGUUAGUGCUUCAACCUUUAGCAAGGUUAUGAGUACAGCAUAGCUAAAACUGAGUUCUCUAGACUUUUACAGCUGCUGUUUUAUAGAGUACAGGAGACAUUUUGAAGCUUAAUAGGACUCAUAAUGCAGGAGUUGCACAUCAGAGAGCAGAGCGUCCUACAAAUGGCCUGAGAUUCAAUAGUAAUGGCAUUAUGGGAAAUGGGAUUACAAAUAGCCAAGAGAUUAUGGGGGAAAAAAUGCACAACAAAAGGAUAUCAGUUCUAUUUUGCUAAUGGAAAUUCAAGAAAGAAAAAGAUGUUAAGGCAGGUGUUUGCUACUAGUGCACAGUACCAAUAUUUCACAUAGAUCUGAAAGAUUACCCAACAAACAGAAAUGGCUUUUUCUUAAUAGCACAAUGGCAUAAUGUACCUUUUCAGAAUACGAAUACCUUCUCCGAAGUGUACAGAGGGCAUGCCUGCAAUUUUAAGGAGGCAGGAGCAGAAACUGCUCCCAUUCAGCCCGUGUGUCAGCACAAACCAGAAGCCAGCCAUACCCAGAGAGAAAGUGGAUGCGUAAGAAGAAAAAGAGGAGGUGAUCAUUAGCUCCUGUUGCCGGGCAGAAAGUGGCCCUAGCCUCAAGUUUCUUUGUCGCGAUGCAGCGGUGUGUUCCCUGUACAGGACUGUAGGAGGUGACCGACGCGACCCCCGUGCUAAUUAGGAGCACAUUCUCGCCCCUUCUUUGUCCAUCACACCAACACCUCCCUCCCUUUUUGUACACAGCCACUCAUCAUUUUAAGUUUUCUGUGUGAUGUGCAGUACCUCGCUGUCACACUUGACUUUCCUCUUCUUCAAGUUCACAGUAGCCACAGUAUGUCCUUUUCAGCUUUUAGAGGGAAGUCUGUUCAUCGCUGUUACGGCUGCUUUAAAGUGCCGACGUCCAUUUGGAACAAGACACCAUCUCAAAAGGAUCCAUCUGGGGUAGUAGGAUGCCUCCUGGGAAUUGGGAUGCCACUGGGUGGAGACCCUGGUGCAGGCCCAGGAUGCACUGGAGGGGAAUAUGUGCAUCAGUUAGCUUGGGAAUGCAUGCUCCACCGGAAGAGGCGAAGGACGUGGCUUCAGAGAGGGAGGUCUGGGCCUCUCUGCUUAGACUACUGCCACCUGUGACCUGGACUCAGGUAAAUGGUGCAAAAUGGGUGUUACUUUUGAGAUAUUUAAUAAUUGUAAUCAUGAGAAAGUACAUGGAAGGAAAGAGGGAUCUCUUAUGACCAGAAAAGGAGGCAUUGUCCAUUGUUGAGAGAAGUUUUGACAAUGUCAUUUUCCCUUCUCUGCUACUUCGGUGCACGAGCAUGUGAGAGUCCUGCUGGAAUCAAAAUUUGCAAGCAACAAUAAUUUGCAAAUCCUACCAUCUGGAUUCUCACAAAUCGCUUUAGUGAAACAGGCCCCUGGACUGUAGUCCAAUGUGAUGCCUGCUCACUGAGGAGGGACAGCAGUUUGUAGGGGUAAUAUCCAUGCUGGCUUGUUUCUCAUAUUAUGGGCCCUAAUGGUGCUCUUUACACCUCUUUUUUCCCUACUCAGCUGUCAGGAGGAUAACCAGUUGCUGCCAGUGUGCCACAAAAGUUGUCCUAAAGUUUCUGCAAUCAUGAUGUGAACAACUUAAAUUUGUGUUUAGACAUUCCUCUGUCUCAUAUCUAAAUCUCACACAUCUGAAACCCUUAAAGAAACCCGAAUCCGAUGCUCAGCAUUUUCUUCCAACUUCUGUUUGAUGCAGGAAGAUGAAAAAAUACUGUACGUUCAGAGAAAGUGUGGGGGGAAAAAGAGAGGGUGUGUGAUUUCUGUUCACACACUCUCUACAAGAUGACUCUGAUCCUCUGUGAGCUUGAGAUACCUAAUGAAGUACAGAUCUUGAGAUGUUACCUACAUCCCGGUUUUCUCCGGUGUAAGUCUUUCAUGGCGAGGUGCUUAUUUCACUGCCUUUAAGGAGGACUUUUUUCUUUUUUUUAAACCCAAUCCGUCCCUUUCUCACCAUUACUCACAAUCACUGCCGCCUUCCUUAAAUCUGCCCCAGAAAAUCAUUUAUGUAGUGUGGCUUCCGCACUGUCAAAGGAGUAAACUCAUUAGAUGUAUUACACGUCACGCUCGGUUUUCACGAGGCUCUUGUGGAUUCAUUCGUCGUGAACGGAGUCGUAGCCAUUCCUCAUUGAUUGUCGUGUGUUAGGAAAACAGUAGUUCAGAGUUACUCUCACAGACUGAGUGUAAAGGAGAGCUGUGGCUCAAUAAGUCAUCACAGACCAGCACAAUCACACACACACACACACACACACUUUCUCUCCGAACAUAUAAUGCAGUGGGAAAAUUGCUCCAGCUAACCCCCUCCCUCCCCACAAGAGCGAGGCCCUGUGCUUUUUAAUUGAUGCUUCGGUCCACCUUUGAUGAGGGCUGAUCGAUUGGCCACACAACCCCAGGAGCUCAGCCACUCAGCCAGCCAGCACAGCCCUCGUGGAGUUCAAACGUCUCCCUGAGAAAUCCAGAAUCUAAUGAUCACUAGGAAAUGGCCAACCGAAUAUGUUAAGAUAGCCGGCACAGAGAGUGCAUUAGGCAUGGGACUCAUUUACCAGAUAAAAAGAGGAACUAUUUAUUAGGACAGCAGAGCGGUUUUUAAUUUGUUUUUGGGGUUUAUUUUGUUUUGUUUUUUUAUUUUUAGUUUUCUCUUCCUUUUUUUUUGGAUUGUUUUGGGUUUUUUCUUCCACUUUUCUUCGUUUCAGCGCCGAGGAGGACACGGUCACGCCUCGCACACGCUGCUCAGUGUGUGUGAUCUUGGAGAAAUUAUCUGUACAUCUGUGGAUGUUAGGAUUUGGAUUUUAUGAGUUGUUUUUUUCUCUCUGAUGAAGCUUUCAAUAAAAAAAUGUGGAAAAAAA
This is a long non-coding RNA of Oreochromis aureus, 6253 nucleotides long. The record is from Ensembl. NCBI's taxonomy places the organism in Eukaryota, Metazoa, Chordata, Actinopteri, Cichliformes, Cichlidae.